Molecule: ribosomal RNA, 466 nt
Filed under: uncultured bacterium
Lineage: Bacteria
Description: bacterial SSU rRNA
Rfam family: Bacterial small subunit ribosomal RNA
Source: RNAcentral
AUGAACGUUGGCGGCGUGGAUUAGGCAUGCAAGUCGCGCGAUAAAUUCCCGCAAGGGAAUGGAAAGCGGCGAAAGGGACAGUAAUGCGUAGAUACCUACCCUCGGGCUCGGGAUAGCUGCGGGAAACUGCAAUUAAUACCGAAUAACGUCUCCGGACCAAAGGUGUGAUUCCGCCUGGGGAUGGGUCUGCGUCCUAUUAGCUAGUUGGUGUGGUAACGGCAUACCAAGGCAAAGAUGGGUAGCAGGUGUGAGAGCACGACCUGCGUCACUGGGACUGAGACACUGCCCAGACACCUACGGGUGGCUGCAGUCGAGAAUCUUCGGCAAUGGGCGCAAGCCUGACCGAGCGACGCCGCGUGCGGGAUGAAGGCCUUCGGGUUGUAAACCGCUGUCAGAGAGGCGGAAGUGCAGGGGGGUUCUCCCCUCUGCUUGACCUAUUCUCAGAGGAAGUGCGGGCUAAGUCCGU